UGGGGAAUAUUGCACAAUGGGCGCAAGCCUGAUGCAGCCAUGCCGCGUGUAUGAAGAAGGCCUUCGGGUUGUAAAGUACUUUCAGCGAGGAGGAAGGCGUUGUGGUUAAUAACCGCAGCGAUUGACGUUACUCGCAGAAGAAGCACCGGCUAACUCCGUGCCAGCAGCCGCGGUAAUACGGAGGGUGCAAGCGUUAACCGGAAUUACUGGGCGUAAAGCGCACGCAGGCGGUCUGUCAAGUCGGAUGUGAAAUCCCCGGGCUCAACCUGGGAACUGCAUCCGAAACUGGCAGGCUAGAGUCUUGUAGAGGGGGGUAGAAUUCCAGGUGUAGCGGUGAAAUGCGUAGAGAUCUGGAGGAAUACCGGUGGCGAAGGCGGCCCCCUGGACAAAGACUGACGCUCAGGUGCGAAAGCGUGGGGAGCAAACA
RNAcentral lists this ribosomal RNA (427 nucleotides) under uncultured bacterium. RNAcentral's name for it is "partial 16S ribosomal RNA". It matches the Rfam family "Bacterial small subunit ribosomal RNA", at positions 355 to 774 of the family's 1533-position model. The record is from RNAcentral.